GACGAACGCUGGCGGCGUGCCUAAUACAUGCCAGUUGAGCGAUGAAGCUUGGUGCUUGCACCAAUUUGAAGAGCAGCGAACGGGUGAGUAACGCGUGGGGAAUCUGCCUUUGAGCGGGGGACAACAUUUGGAAACGAAUGCUAAUACCGCAUAAUAACUUUAAACAUAAGUUUUAAGUUUGAAAGAUGCAAUUGCAUCACUCAAAGAUGAUCCCGCGUUGUAUUAGCUAGUUGGUGAGGUAAAGGCUCACCAAGGCGAUGAUACAUAGCCGACCUGAGAGGGUGAUCGGCCACAUUGGGACUGAGACACGGCCCAAACUCCUACGGGAGGCAGCAGUGGGGAAUCUUCGGCAAUGGACGAAAGUCUGACCGAGCAACGCCGCGUGAGUGAAGAAGGGUUUCGGAUCGUAAAACUCUGUUGGUAGAGAAGAACGUUGGUGAGAGUGGAAAGCUCAUCAAGUGACGGUAACUACCCAGAAAGGGACGGCUAACUACGUG
Molecule: ribosomal RNA, 497 nt
Filed under: uncultured bacterium
Lineage: Bacteria
Description: partial 16S ribosomal RNA
Rfam family: Bacterial small subunit ribosomal RNA
Source: RNAcentral